This 284-nucleotide ribosomal RNA is filed under the name Fusicatenibacter saccharivorans. RNAcentral's name for it is "partial 16S ribosomal RNA". It matches the Rfam family "Bacterial small subunit ribosomal RNA", at positions 493 to 776 of the family's 1533-position model. Lineage: Bacteria; Bacillati; Bacillota; Clostridia; Lachnospirales; Lachnospiraceae. The record is from RNAcentral.
UAUGGUAAUUGUGUGCCAGAAGAAGAGGUAAUACGUAGGGGGCAAGCGUUAUCCGGAUUUACUGGGUGUAAAGGGAGCGUAGACGGCAAGGCAAGUCUGAUGUGAAAACCCAGGGCUUAACCCUGGGACUGCAUUGGAAACUGUCUGGCUCGAGUGCCGGAGAGGUAAGCGGAAUUCCUAGUGUAGCGGUGAAAUGCGUAGAUAUUAGGAAGAACACCAGUGGCGAAGGCGGCUUACUGGACGGUAACUGACGUUGAGGCUCGAAAGCGUGGGGAGCAAACAGG